RNAcentral lists this ribosomal RNA (477 nucleotides) under uncultured bacterium. Its description in RNAcentral is "SSU rRNA". It matches the Rfam family "Bacterial small subunit ribosomal RNA", at positions 26 to 523 of the family's 1533-position model. The record is from RNAcentral.
AGGACGAACGCUGGCGGCGUGCUUAACACAUGCAAGUCGAGCGGAAAGGCCCUUCGGGGUACUCGAGCGGCGAACGGGUGAGUAACACGUGAGUAAUCUGCCCCUAGCUCUGGGAUAGCUCCGGGAAAACCGGGAUUAAUACCAGAUACGACCACUUUAGACAUCUGCUGUGGUGGAAAGAAUUUCGGCUAGGGAUGAGCUCGCGGCCUAUCAGCUUGUGGUGAGGUAACGGCUCACCAAGGCGACGACGGGUAGCCGGCCUGAGAGGGCGACCGGCCACACUGGGACUGAGACACGGCCCAGACUCCUACGGGAGGCAGCAGUGGGGAAUAUUGCGCAAUGGGCGAAAGCCUGACGCAGCGACGCCGCGUGGGGGAUGAAGGCCUUCGGGUUGUAACCCUUUCAGCAGGGACGAAGCGAAAGUGACGGUACCUGCAGAAGAAGCGCCGGCUAACUACGUGCCAGCAGCCGCGGUAA